GAGUUUGAUUCUGGCUCAGAUUGAACGCUGGCGGCAUGCUUUACACAUGCAAGUCGAACGGCAGCGCGGGCUUCGGCCUGGCGGCGAGUGGCGAACGGGUGAGUAAUACAUCGGAACGUACCUGGUAGUGGGGGAUAGCUCGGCGAAAGCCGGAUUAAUACCGCAUACGACCUCAGGGUGAAAGCGGGGGACCUUCGGGCCUCGCGCUAUCAGAGCGGCCGAUGGCAGAUUAGCUAGUUGGUGAGGUAAAGGCUUACCAAGGCGACGAUCUGUAGCUGGUCUGAGAGGACGACCAGCCACACUGGGACUGAGACACGGCCCAGACUCCUACGGGAGGCAGCAGUGGGGAAUUUUGGACAAUGGGCGCAAGCCUGAUCCAGCAAUGCCGCGUGUGUGAUGAAGGCCUUCGGGUUGUAAAGCACUUUUGUCAGGAACGAAAAGGUCCGUGCUAAUACCA
Molecule: ribosomal RNA, 457 nt
Filed under: Lautropia sp. canine oral taxon 175
Lineage: Bacteria; Pseudomonadati; Pseudomonadota; Betaproteobacteria; Burkholderiales; Burkholderiaceae
Description: bacterial SSU rRNA
Rfam family: Bacterial small subunit ribosomal RNA
Source: RNAcentral